UACGGAAGGUGCAAGCGUUGCUCGGAAUCACUGGGCGUAAAGCGAGUGUAGGCGGUCUGCUAAGUCGGGUGUGAAAGCCCUGGGCUCAACCCAGGAAGUGCACUCGAAACUGGCGGGCUAGAGUAUCGGAGAGGUUGGUGGAAUUCUCGGUGUAGAGGUGAAAUUCGUAGAUAUCGAGAGGAACACCGGUGGCGAAGGCGGCCAACUGGACGAAUACUGACGCUGAGACUCGAAAGCGUGGGGAGCAAACAGG
RNAcentral lists this ribosomal RNA (253 nucleotides) under uncultured bacterium. RNAcentral describes it as "partial 16S ribosomal RNA". It matches the Rfam family "Bacterial small subunit ribosomal RNA", at positions 524 to 776 of the family's 1533-position model. The record is from RNAcentral.